Molecule: non-coding RNA, 46 nt
Filed under: unclassified sequences
Description: SAM-SAH-Weickhmann-2018 RNA
Rfam family: SAM/SAH riboswitch aptamer
Source: RNAcentral
UUACCACAACGGCUUCCUGGCGUGGUGAAUUCAUCUAACUGGAGCG